AGCACUCCUACGGGAGGCAGCAGUGGGGAAUAUUGCACAAUGGGCGCAAGCCUGAUGCAGCCAUGCCGCGUGUAUGAAGAAGGCCUUCGGGUUGUAAAGUACUUUCAGCAGUGAGGAAGGUGGGUAUGUUAAUAGCAUAUUCAUUUGACGUUUAGCUGCAGAAGAAGCACCGGCUAACUCCGUGCCAGCAGCCGCGGUAAUACGGAGGGUGCGAGCGUUAAUCGGAAUUACUGGGCGUAAAGCGCAUGCAGGUGGUUUGUUAAGUCAGAUGUGAAAGCCCGGGGCUCAACCUCGGAAUUGCAUUUGAAACUGGCAAACUAGAGUACUGUAGAGGGGGUAGAAUUUCAGGUGUAGCGGUGAAAUGCGUAGAGAUCUGAAGGAAUACCGGUGGCGAAGGCGGCCCCCUGGACAGAUACUGACACUCAGAUGCGAAAGCGUGGGGAGCAAACAGGAUUAGAUACCCUGGUAG
Molecule: ribosomal RNA, 469 nt
Filed under: uncultured bacterium
Lineage: Bacteria
Description: bacterial SSU rRNA
Rfam family: Bacterial small subunit ribosomal RNA
Source: RNAcentral